Danio rerio (zebrafish) is the source of this 835-nucleotide non-coding RNA. The record is from RefSeq and is a predicted model, not a curated record. NCBI's taxonomy places the organism in Eukaryota, Metazoa, Chordata, Actinopteri, Cypriniformes, Danionidae.
UUAAGUGCUGCCCCUUUAAGAGUUUACGCACACACAAACGCGGGGAGAGCAGUGCACGUCGGAUACAGAGAGCGCAGUCACACACAGUCACACACACAGAGAAAGUGGAUAAUACUGUUAGGGAGAGGACGUUUACAGUUUUGUGUCAACUUGUGAGAAUGUAGUAGAUGCUUGUGGGGUGAUUUUGCUUAUCUGAUGGCUUAAUGUGCUGCUCAUGCGAUCUUUGAGGAAGGGGGAUUCAGACCACGCUAGUGGAGAUGGAGCAGGGGAGAGAAGCAGAUCAGGUCACACAGGUGCUAAUCGCUACGAGUGCUUCAGAGGAUCAAAACCAGUACAGAUAAGCCACUGCCGUUGUUUUGCACACAUUAAAUCGUUUAUUAAUGAAGUUUUGCACUACUGUAAGUCGAAUUGGCAUUUUGAGUUGGAUGUUUUGAUUAGAGGCAUUUACUGUAAAAUAAUUUAUUCUUCCACAAAUGAGAUGAAUAUAAAUAAAGAUAAAUAUUUUCCAUGGGAAUUGCCUCAGCUGUUCUUUGUUGUUGUCUACAUACACCCACGUGCUCAAAUUGAUACUAUUGCGACUUCCUGAUGCCUCCUAUAAGUCGCUCGAGAGGCAGUGAGGGUCCUUUAUAUUUGUGACGCGCUGGUGGCUUUAGACAGAGACACUGAGCCCAAGAUGUUAUAUGGAAAACUUUAUGUAACUUGAAGCAUGAAAAAACAAUACAGCAAUUUGUGUCUUUGAAUACCUGUUUUGUAUGGUGCCGAUUAUUGCGUUGGUGUGAUGAUUGUUGCGUGUGCCGUUGUGAUACAGUUUUGCGUUGCUUGGUUUGCGCUGCUG